GUGGGUAUAGCUCAGUGGUAGAGCACAUGCUUAGCAUGCACAUUCUAGGUUCAAUCUCCAGUACCUCUA
RNAcentral lists this transfer RNA (69 nucleotides) under Camelus bactrianus (Bactrian camel). It matches the Rfam family "tRNA". Rfam says of the family: Transfer RNA (tRNA) molecules are approximately 80 nucleotides in length. Their secondary structure includes four short double-helical elements and three loops (D, anti-codon, and T loops). The record is from Rfam by way of RNAcentral. Lineage: Eukaryota; Metazoa; Chordata; Mammalia; Artiodactyla; Camelidae. RNAcentral also lists the same sequence under 3 other names.